CCCUGGGAUAACUCCCGUUAGGAGACGUGCUAACUGUCCAGGCGCGGUGGGGUUACAUAUUUAUUUUUCAGUCCUAGGGAUUGAACGCAGGGCCUUAACACAGAUUUACACCCGCAUCCGCCUUUUCUAUUUUGAGACAGAGUCUCUCUAAGUCACCCAGGCUGGGCUCCAAUUUAUGAUCCUCCCUCCUCAGCCUCCCCGAGUGCAUUGAUUACAGGCGCCAAAGGUGAUGGUGGUUUUAAGUGACAGGUUGUAUUCGUUUCACGGUGCACAGGGUUCAUUUUAAAGAAAUGGGAAGGGGAUCUGGAGAUUUGAGGGAGAGGGGAGGGGUUAAGGGGAGGUAAAAAGGAUCAAGCUGUGUGCGUGGCCCAGUCCCCCAGGAUGAAUGUGUUUACUGUGGAUCACAAACACACUAGUAAAAGAGGGAUCAAACCCAAAGAUGAAAAUAAUUAAAAGUGCUCGGAAAUACAGACAAGGCCGUAGUGUGCGUUGAUGGACGCUGGAGCUGACGCCUGGACUCACCUCGUGCUGCAGACAGGGAAGGGUGGGGAGCUGCAUUAAUGCAUUUAAGUCUCCUUUCCAACAGGAAUAAACGUGGGUCACUCAAGAAGCUCCUGAAAGGACUACCAGCAAGAGAGCCCCACCUGGGCAGCUUAGCAAGACCCUGCCUCUAAAUACAAAAUAAAAAGGGCGAGGGAGGUAGCUUCCUGGGAGCACCAUGGUUCAGCCGCCAGUAUCUGAAGGUAAAAAUAAAGGACCUGCUGUGCGUACACACCGUUUAAAUUGUGGCUGCACGGUUUGGGGCCUGAGCCCUAUGUUGAAGAUACUCCUCGAGAACAGGAGAUGAAUGACCUGGAAUGAGCCAGCAGUCAUGCAAGAUUUUGUCUGUUGAGUCUUCAUCUAAACUGAAGUCCUAGACUCUGUUCCCAAAAGGAGAAAGGAGAGCUCUGGCCCUCAGCUGACCUCUUUGCUCCCGCCUAUAGCAGCCCUAGUGCCGCCCACUGUCCGGCCUCCAACUUCUCCUGGCAUUCUUCCCAAACAACCUCUGUGAACAGGCAGGACAGAGCCGCUCCAAAACAGCUGAGGGCUGGUAUUGGUGACUUCAGUGGCGCAUCUUGGAGGCUUCCAGCAGUCCUAACACAAGGGCACACCUGGGUGCAAAACAACCGCAUUUGAAAAUGUAGGACCGAUGGCUCAGCCUCCGUGCAGUGGCCUGAAUGCCCCACUCCUCUGGGCCUGCCACAGAGGACCCCUGUGUGCCCAAUGGGCCAUCCCAGAUUCCUACACUGUAACAGGAGUCCAGUUUGGUUCAUUGAUGACCAGAUGUCCUGCCCAAGUCAGAUGGGGGAACUGUGCACAUGUAACAAAUAACAUCUUGCCAUUCAAUUACAGUUCCAUUUUUCAGAAGUGUUUGAAAUUCAGAUAACCCUCAUGUCCUUUCCUGAGUGUGCUUUUGAUAUUUCUAAGUCUCCAAGGAAGUAGGUAAUCUUGAGGUAAAGAAGGGGGAGAUGUGAGUAAAUACUGUUCCUUAUUGGAAUUGAUAUUCACAGGAGUACCCAUCUGUUGCUUAUUAGUCACGAUGGAUUUGCCAUACAGGGAAACUAAGGCCCAGGAAGUCAAGAUCACAACAGAACUUGAUCUCAUUGCUUUGAUCUGAGUUAUCUCUGUUGAAGCCAUCCCCAAGAAAAACUUGUGUGGUACUAAUGUUUCUAGAAAAGUGGCUGACCCCAUGCUAGGCUCUCACUGAGCAUGUGUGGAAUAGAUGCCAUUUUGAAAUUUCUAAGCAUUUUGAAAGGGUAAGUGUACAUCACAACAAUCAGCAUGACAGUGUAGAAUAAGAUGGUCACCCGACACAAUUAGCACAGCGCUUCAAUUGUUUAUU
Fukomys damarensis (Damara mole-rat) is the source of this 1882-nucleotide long non-coding RNA. RefSeq lists it as uncharacterized. The transcript is spliced from 3 exons. The record is from RefSeq and is a predicted model, not a curated record. NCBI's taxonomy places the organism in Eukaryota, Metazoa, Chordata, Mammalia, Rodentia, Bathyergidae.